CCCUUAGAUGUUAUGGGCGGCCCGCGCACUACAAUGGCGUGUGCAGCGAGUGCCGAAGUAGAGUUUUCCGAGGUAUUCUUGCAAUGCUCGUUUUGAUGGGGAUAGACCCUUGCAACUGUUGGUUUUGAACGAGGAAUUCCUUGUAAGCAUGGUUUAUCAUCCGACGCUGAAUGCGUCCCUGCCCUUUGUACACACCGCCCGUCGCUCCUACCGAUGAGUCGUCCGGUGAAGUUCGUAGACCUCGUGAUCGCGGAUCACUGGGGGAAGCAAAAUGAACCUCGCGGUUUAGAGGAAGGAGAAGUCGUAACA
Molecule: ribosomal RNA, 309 nt
Filed under: uncultured eukaryote
Lineage: Eukaryota
Description: partial 18S ribosomal RNA
Rfam family: Eukaryotic small subunit ribosomal RNA
Source: RNAcentral